Molecule: long non-coding RNA, 528 nt
Organism: Tripterygium wilfordii
Lineage: Eukaryota; Viridiplantae; Streptophyta; Magnoliopsida; Celastrales; Celastraceae
Exons: 4
Source: RefSeq, a predicted model, not a curated record
UAAAAAUGAUAAAAAUUUGCUUCUCUACACUCUACUAAGCCAAUCGCUCCAUCUCUUUCUGCAAUGGCAAACGCACAACCUUCACUAACUCCCUCAUGGUUCCUCGAAUUGGUACCGUUGUUGGCGGUCAUCCUGAUCGCAGCUCACGUUUUCGCUUUGGUUUAUUGGAUUUAUAGACUGGCCACUGAUAAACAGCCUCAAAGAAGAAAGACGCACUGAGGAUCACUUCGUUACUUCAGACGUAGCCAAGUGGCAUGCGGGGUUCUCUUCAAGUUGGUGCAUAAUGAAUUUGGAAGUUCUUUCUUCUGAUGCUGAAUUGGACUGUGCAGAUAUAACAUUCAUACGAGAUUGUAAGAAACUGCAUUUACCAAGUAACUUCCAUUCUUCUUUACAUUAUAUGGAGUAGAUGUGUGUACAUUAUAUUUUUGCAGUUUUAUAGUGUCUGGCUGCUGUAUUAUACAGUUAUUUCUUAAGACCUAGCUAUAUUCCAGGGAUCAAAUGAAUGCACACCGUUCUGAGUUUGUCUUC